Coturnix japonica (Japanese quail) is the source of this 254-nucleotide long non-coding RNA. RefSeq lists it as uncharacterized. The record is from RefSeq and is a predicted model, not a curated record. NCBI's taxonomy places the organism in Eukaryota, Metazoa, Chordata, Aves, Galliformes, Phasianidae.
GCUGGGGGGGAUGAGUCAGAGCAGGAGCCCGAGCUCAGCCCUGCGCCCGCUGCGUCACUGCCAGGCCAGAAGCUUCUGGAGCCCACCAGAAAUGUGGCACCCCAGGCUCACUGAAUCUACAGCUGUACUCACAAUCCAGAAAAAGGGAGCGCGCGAGAGAGAGGAAAAUACUGAAGUAUUUCUACAGAGUAUUUUGUUCCAGUUGGCUCCCUCCGCGGCAGGAGACAGAGACUGUAAAAGAGGAAGACUGGAAA